RNAcentral lists this ribosomal RNA (497 nucleotides) under uncultured bacterium. RNAcentral describes it as "partial 16S ribosomal RNA". It matches the Rfam family "Bacterial small subunit ribosomal RNA", at positions 28 to 507 of the family's 1533-position model. The record is from RNAcentral.
GAUGAACGCUGGCGGCGUGCCUAAUACAUGCAAGUCGAGCGAACGGACGAGAAGCUUGCUUCUCUGAUGUUAGCGGCGGACGGGUGAGUAACACGUGGAUAACCUACCUAUAAGGCUGGGAUAACUUCGGGAAACCGUAGCUAAUACCGGAUAAUAUUUUGAACCGCAUGGUUCAAAAGUGAAAGACGGUCUUGCUGUCACUUAUAGAUGGAUCCGCGCUGCAUUAGCUAGUUGGUAAGGUAACGGCUUACCAAGGCGACGAUGCAUAGCCGACCUGAGAGGGUGAUCAGCCACACUGGAACUGAGACACGGUCCAGACUCCUACGGGAGGCAGCAGUAGGGAAUCUUCCGCAAUGGGCGAAAGCCUGACGGAGCAACGCCGCGUGAGUGAUGAAGGUCUUCGGAUCGUAAAACUCUGUUAUUAGGGAAGAACAUAAGUGUAAGUAACUGUGCACAUCUUGACGGUACCUAAUCAGAAAGCCACGGCUAACUACGUG